UGGGGAAUAUUGGACAAUGGGCGAACGCCUGAUCCAGCCAUGCCGCGUGUGUGAAGAAGGUCUUCGGAUUGUAAAGCACUUUAAGUUGGGAGGAAGGGCAUUAACAUAAUACGUUAGUGUUUUGACGUUACCGACAGAAUAAGCACCGGCUAACUCUGUGCCAGCAGCACCGGUAACACAGAGGGUGCAAGCGUUAAUCGGAAUUACUGGGCGUAAAGCGCGCGUAGGUGGUUUGUUAAGUUGGAUGUGAAAGCCCCGGGCUCAACCUGGGAACUGCAUCCAAAACUGGCAAGCUAGAGUACGGUAGAGGGUGGUGGAAUUUCCUGUGUAGCGGUGAAAUGCGUAGAUAUAGGAAGGAACACCAGUGGCGAAGGCGACCACCUGGACUGAUACUGACACUGAGGUGCGAAAGCGUGGGGAGCAAACA
Molecule: ribosomal RNA, 427 nt
Filed under: uncultured bacterium
Lineage: Bacteria
Description: partial 16S ribosomal RNA
Rfam family: Bacterial small subunit ribosomal RNA
Source: RNAcentral